UACAGAGGGUGCGAGCGUUGUUCGGAAUUACUGGGCGUAAAGCGCGUGUAGGCGGCUGUGCAAGUCGGGUGUGAAAGCCCCGGGCUCAACCCCGGAACUGCCCUCGAAACUAGGUAGCUAGAAUCUUGGAGAGGCGAGUGGAAUUCCGAGUGUAGAGGUGAAAUUCGUAGAUAUUCGGAAGAACACCAGUGGCGAAGGCGACUCGCUGGACAAGUAUUGACGCUGAGGUGCGAAAGCGUGGGGAGCAAACAGG
RNAcentral lists this ribosomal RNA (253 nucleotides) under uncultured bacterium. RNAcentral's name for it is "partial 16S ribosomal RNA". It matches the Rfam family "Bacterial small subunit ribosomal RNA", at positions 524 to 776 of the family's 1533-position model. The record is from RNAcentral.